Ribosomal RNA from Bacillus coahuilensis p1.1.43, 116 nucleotides. The record is from Rfam. NCBI's taxonomy places the organism in Bacteria, Bacillati, Bacillota, Bacilli, Caryophanales, Bacillaceae.
UAUGGUGGCAAUAGCGAAGAGGUCACACCCGUUCCCAUACCGAACACGGAAGUUAAGCUCUUCAGCGCCGAUGGUAGUUGGGGGCUUCCCCCUGUGAGAGUAGGACGUCGCCGUGC